GACAUCAGAUGCUAUGCAGCAAACAUGACAAGAGUAUGAAUUAGCGGAAAGCUUCCCUGGGGAAAUGUAUCCAGGUUCCAGUAAUGGAUAAUUAUAAAUCCAAUAGCUUUUCUCCUACCAGGGUUGCAUUGCAUACUUGCUGUGUAUGCACAGCCCAGGAAGGUCCUCUUUCUUCCCCACCAGUAAUGAGACAGAGAAGAACCCGAUGAAAUGCUGUGUUCUCAAAGUUCCUCUGAUGAGGAGGAGCCUGAAUAGCCUUGUCAUGAGAUCACUGUGUGACAGACGAGAUGAAUUGCCCUCCAGAAGUGCCUGCUCUCAGUGGGGACCAAGGAGGUAACUACCUUAAACAGGUCACAUAACAAUCAGGUAAUUUCACUCUGGAGACCAGAAACCUUAAACUCUUCAAAUGAGUAGCACGUGAUACAGAUAGCAGUUGUGCUUGGGGAAAAUGCCACUCAUCUCAUGAAAGGUUUGCUUCCUUGGUGUGUGUGGAGGAUACCUGGUGCAGAUUGUUCAUACAAAGGCACAUGGGCAUCAUGCAAGCUCCAAAGACUUGUCCAGAAGUCUGGAGGAAGCACUGGUUUGGGUUUGAGAAAAUGUGGUACCUCGUCACUCUACCAUAUAAUUCUUCUGGGAAUUUGGCAAAUCCUUUAGUGCAAAAGCAUUGGUAAUUCAGUGCCUGAAUACCCUAAAUAUGGCCCCCCAAAACUUUGUGUCUGGGUUCCUGGCUUGGCACUGACACAACUGGUCAAGGUUUUUGUGCCGUAUCUUACUGAGUUUAUGAGGACUUUUGGGGGUGGGAUUUUCUCAUUCUAUCAGAAGGUUAAGACUAGUGUGAAUUAGAUUUACCAGUGCCUUUGAAGUUCCUAUUUGUCAUCUUCUCAGCAUGUGUUGGCUCCUAGAUAUGUUUAAAAUCCAGCCUCCUGACUGUAGCACUUGACAUACCACUGCCAUAACAAGAUUGGUCCAUUAAGAAUAUUUCUUCAGUUUUGUUCUCCUUAAUCUGAUAUCCCAAAGUAGCGAACUUCCACCACUCUUCUGGAUUGUUUAGGAUCAUUUCACAAGCUGAUAAAGUCAGGAAGGACAGAUAGCAAUUCUGCAACUUGUCUCGAUGUGCGUGAGUACCCUGCCAAAGUGUAUUACAACAUAUUGAAUGGGUCUGUUGCUGGCUGCACCUGGGCUAUACAGAAUACUAAGAAGGACUCAGAAAAAGUAUUUUUCUUCUUCUCAGUUGGAGGGGAAGAGCUGAUACUGUUUUAACCUUACUCUAUCUUUCUGUUCCUAAGUUGAGCUGGAUAUAUCUAGGUUGGCUACACUUCAGCUUCCACAGUAACAGAUCUUUUUCUGGCAGCAGAAAAAGAUUCAAAUUAUUUUCAUGUGGCAGGUGUUUCAACCAAAUAUCCUGGGAUCAAACUAACAUUUAUCAAGUACCUUGAAUCACAGCAUUAUGUACUCGGUGGGCAUUGCCCAUGGGGAGGUAAUGCAUCAGCAGGCUGAGAAGCUUAGAACACAAAGGAAGAGAAUAACAAAUCACAAAUCAACAAACUCAAUUGUAUUAAACGUGCUGCCCAGGGAUGCUUUCCUCUGGCAAGAAAAUAUUCAGAUGCAAACUUACCAUUAGGAGUUUAAAAAAUAAACCAACUGUAGGUAAAUGAUAGUUAUUUGCUAACAAAUGCAAGCGGUAAGGAUCCUGAGCUCCAUUUCAACUACCUUCCAGUUGUAUCCCAGGUCCCGGAAGCAAUCGUUAUUGUUGUUCAGUUAAACUUGAUUGGGUAUGACAGAACGUUACCAAAUACUGGCCUCUGAAGGGGUUGUUCUUGCUAAGAUUUGAAUAACAUGCUAUUAUGAAUGAUGGUGUUUUAAAUUAGUAAGGAUGCUGAAAGAAGUAAAAAUAGACAAGCCAUUGUGAGAUUUCCCAGCAGCUGAUGUUUGCUUCAUUUGAAAAGACACAUGAGUUUCAAGCAAUCUUAAAUGCAAUGCCAUAUAAAUUAGACGGGAAAGAGGUUUGCAAUGUGUUUUGUUUAGUCAAAAUUGGAAAACUUUGAGAUGUUAUCUUUAUAACUUCUUAGUUUCUGGGAAGGACGGUGAAUUUAGAUUCCCCAUAACCACAUCCUUUAAUGUGGCCUUCUGAUUCCUUAUCGUUUUGAGCUGGGAUGAAACUCAAUACAGUCUGUCAAAGACAAAGUGAUAAAAGGGGCUUUGUGUUAUUUUUGCAACUCUCAGAUUGGAUAGCCAACCUGCUAAUGAGGACUACUAGUUAACAACCUUAGUUAUUGCAAUAGCUAAAGGGUAUACAGGUGCUGGGAAGGGAACCACUGCAAGGUACGGGUAUCCUGGGGUGCCUCCAGUUGGUGGAAAUUUAGCAGGCUCUGGAUCCCAAAACAUAUGGAUCCUGGCAGCGCAACCUAGCAGCUCCAAAUUUCUGGCAUAGGGAACAGUGAAAGAAGGUGACUUCUCUGGCAGUCACAUAACGUAACAUCAGGAGUUGGUAAAGGGCAUGGGGACUGAACUGAAAGCAACCUCUUUCUUUUGUGAUAAUUUUGUGUUUUCUCAUGUGUCCUGUCUGGAGGAAAAGAAUUGUGUUAGGGUCUCUUUGUGGCAGCACUCAGAUGGGGUAGGUGAGGUAGAUUUCAGACAUAGGACAUGAGAGAUCACAUUUUCUCCAUUUUGUUUCUUAGUUUUCUGUUGUUUUUAAUCUUGACUAGUCUCCUUUUAGAUCUGAGGUUCAAGCGCUGGAACACUUCUUGUUCUGGAAGGCUAGAAGGCAAUGCUGCUUUUACUUAACUUUGCACCUUAAAACUCUGCACAGUCAAAGAAAGUUAACAGUGAAAGAAUUUGCCUCUGUUUUCUGGUUCUGCUAUUCCACACUUUUUUUCAGAAGGCCUUCCCUACCAGUUAGGUCCCAUUGUUUCCAUCAGUGGCAUCUCGUAACAAAGCCUAUAUUUGGAUUGUCAUGUUCUUUAAUUGAGCAUCCUUCAACUCUUUAGUUUCAUUUCUCAGCUCCUUUGAUGCUGUCUUAAUAGUAGUUUUCUCUGAAGACUUCUUU
Molecule: long non-coding RNA, 3046 nt
Organism: Cygnus olor (mute swan)
Lineage: Eukaryota; Metazoa; Chordata; Aves; Anseriformes; Anatidae
Exons: 4
Source: RefSeq, a predicted model, not a curated record